This 465-nucleotide ribosomal RNA is filed under the name uncultured bacterium. RNAcentral's name for it is "bacterial SSU rRNA". It matches the Rfam family "Bacterial small subunit ribosomal RNA", at positions 198 to 644 of the family's 1533-position model. The record is from RNAcentral.
GGAGAAAAGCAGGGGAUCGCAAGACCUUGCGCUCUUGGAGCGGCCGAUGUCUGAUUAGCUAGUUGGUGAGGUAAAGGCUUACCAAGGCGACGAUCAGUAGCUGGUCUGAGAGGACGACCAGCCACACUGGGACUGAGACACGGCCCAGACUCCUACGGGAGGCAGCAGUGGGGAAUUUUGGACAAUGGGGGAAACCCUGAUCCAGCCAUGCCGCGUGAGUGAAGAAGGCCUUCGGGUUGUAAAGCUCUUUCAGCCGGAACGAAACGGUCACGGCUAAUACCUGUGACUACUGACGGUACCGGAAGAAGAAGCACCGGCUAACUACGUGCCAGCAGCCGCGGUAAUACGUAGGGUGCAAGCGUUAAUCGGAAUUACUGGGCGUAAAGCGUGCGCAGGCGGUUUUGUAAGUCAGAUGUGAAAUCCCCGGGCUUAACCUGGGAACUGCGUUUGAAACUACAAGGCUAG